AACGAACGCUGGCGGCACGUUUUAAGCAUGCAAGUCGAAUGGCAGCAGGGGCAACUCUGUGAGAAUGGCGAACGGGUGAGUAGCACGUAGGUGAUCUGCCUUGAGGAUGGGGAUAGCCUGUGGAAACACAGGGUAAUACCGAAUGAGCUGACGAGACUUUGGUUUUGUUAGUAAAGGUGCUACGGCACCGCCUUGAGAGGAGCCUGCGGCUGAUUAGCUAGUUGGUGGGGUAAGAGCUUACCAAGGCGACGAUCAGUAGCCGGCCUGAGAGGGUGUACGGCCACACUGGAACUGAGACACGGUCCAGACUCCUACGGGAGUCAGCAGCUAAGAAUCUUCCGCAAUGGGCGAAAGCCUGACGGAGCGAUGCCGCGUGAUCGAUGAAGGUCGAGAGAUUGUAAAGAUCUUUUCUACAUGAGGAAUAAGUCUGGGAGGGAAUGCCCGGAUGAUGACGUUAGUGUAGGAAUAAGCCCCGGCUAAUUACGUGCCAGCAGCCGCCGUAA
This 503-nucleotide ribosomal RNA is filed under the name uncultured bacterium. RNAcentral describes it as "partial 16S ribosomal RNA". It matches the Rfam family "Bacterial small subunit ribosomal RNA", at positions 29 to 523 of the family's 1533-position model. The record is from RNAcentral.